AAAUUGAAGAGUUUGAUCAUGGCUCAGAUUGAACGCUGGCGGCAGGCCUAACACAUGCAAGUCGAGCGGUAGCACAGAGAGCUUGCUCUCGGGUGACGAGCGGCGGACGGGUGAGUAAUGUCUGGGAAACUGCCUGAUGGAGGGGGAUAACUACUGGAAACGGUAGCUAAUACCGCAUAACGUCGCAAGACCAAAGUGGGGGACCUUCGGGCCUCAUG
Molecule: ribosomal RNA, 218 nt
Filed under: Klebsiella aerogenes
Lineage: Bacteria; Pseudomonadati; Pseudomonadota; Gammaproteobacteria; Enterobacterales; Enterobacteriaceae
Also listed under: 4 other names
Description: partial 16S ribosomal RNA
Rfam family: Bacterial small subunit ribosomal RNA
Source: RNAcentral